This 385-nucleotide ribosomal RNA is filed under the name uncultured bacterium. Its description in RNAcentral is "bacterial SSU rRNA". It matches the Rfam family "Bacterial small subunit ribosomal RNA", at positions 28 to 410 of the family's 1533-position model. The record is from RNAcentral.
GACGAACGCUGGCGGCGUGCUUAACACAUGCAAGUCGAGCGGUAAGGCCCUUUCGGGGGUACACGAGCGGCGAACGGGUGAGUAACACGUGGGUGACCUGCCCUCAGCUCUGGGAUAAGCCUGGGAAACCGGGUCUAAUACUGGAUAUGACUCCAUGACGCAUGUUGGUGGGGUGGAAAGCCUUGUGCGGCUGAGGAUGGGCCCGCGGCCUAUCAGCUUGUUGGGUGGGGUGANGGCCUACCAAGGCGACGACGGGUAGCCGGCCUGAGAGGGCGACCGGCCACACUGGGACUGAGACACGGCCCCAGACUCCUACGGGGAGGCAGCAGUGGGGAAUCUUGCGCAAUGGGCGAAAGCCUGACGCAGCGACGCCGCGUGAGGGAUG